This 253-nucleotide ribosomal RNA is filed under the name uncultured bacterium. RNAcentral describes it as "partial 16S ribosomal RNA". It matches the Rfam family "Bacterial small subunit ribosomal RNA", at positions 524 to 776 of the family's 1533-position model. The record is from RNAcentral.
GACAGAGGGUGCAAACGUUGCUCGGAAUUACUGGGCGUAAAGCGCGUGUAGGCGGUCUCGCGAGUCGGGUGUGAAAGCCCGGGGCUCAACCCCGGACGUGCACUCGAUACUACGAGGCUGGAGUACUGUAGAGGAUGGCGGAAUUCCCGGUGUAGAGGUGAAAUUCGUAGAUAUCGGGAGGAACACCAGUGGCGAAGGCGGCCAUCUGGACAGUGACUGACGCUGAGACGCGAAAGCGUGGGUAGCAAACAGG